This 82-nucleotide transfer RNA is filed under the name Candidatus Pelagibacter sp. Its description in RNAcentral is "tRNA-Leu". It matches the Rfam family "tRNA". From Rfam's summary of the family: Transfer RNA (tRNA) molecules are approximately 80 nucleotides in length. Their secondary structure includes four short double-helical elements and three loops (D, anti-codon, and T loops). The record is from RNAcentral. Lineage: Bacteria; Pseudomonadati; Pseudomonadota; Alphaproteobacteria; Candidatus Pelagibacterales; Candidatus Pelagibacteraceae.
GCGAGUAUGUUGGAACUGGUAGACAAGCAUGACUCAAAAUCUUGUGUCUUCGGACGUGUGAGUUCGACUCUCACUACUCGCA